AUUGAACGCUGGCGGCAUGCCUUACACAUGCAAGUCGAACGGUAACGGGCCUUCGGGUGCCGACGAGUGGCGAACGGGUGAGUAAUGUAUCGGAACGUACCUUUCAGUGGGGGAUAACGUAGCGAAAGUUACGCUAAUACCGCAUAUUUUGUGAGCAGGAAAGCAGGGGAUCGCAAGACCUUGCGCUGAUUGAGCGGCCGAUAUCAGAUUAGCUAGUUGGUGAGGUAAAGGCUCACCAAGGCGACGAUCUGUAGCGGGUCUGAGAGGAUGAUCCGCCACACUGGAACUGAGACACGGUCCAGACUCCUACGGGAGGCAGCAGUGGGGAAUUUUGGACAAUGGGGGCAACCCUGAUCCAGCCAUGCCGCGUGAGUGAAGAAGGCCUUCGGGUUGUAAAGCUCUUUCGGCCGGGAAGAAAUCGCAUAGGCUAAUACCCUGUGUGGAUGACGGUACCGGAAUAAGAAGCACCGGCUAACUACGUG
This 482-nucleotide ribosomal RNA is filed under the name uncultured bacterium. RNAcentral describes it as "bacterial SSU rRNA". It matches the Rfam family "Bacterial small subunit ribosomal RNA", at positions 30 to 507 of the family's 1533-position model. The record is from RNAcentral.